GAUCCUGGUUGAUUUUACACGCGAGUGCAGCCUGUAUCAAAGAGAACUCAUGAUCCUAGGUGGGAAGGUCGGGGUGGUGGAGAGCGAGAAGCAGGUGUCAUCAGCUUUAUCAUUGAGAAGGGGAAAAAAAUGUAUCCCAAAUUUUUUUUAAAAUAGUUCUUUUUUUAUUUCAGACCAUUUACUUAAAAAAAAAAACCAAAACAAAAAUCCAAAAAAAAUGGCUCGGCGCGUUGGUUUUGAAGGGAACAUCGGCGCAGGGAAAACCAGUUUGAUAAAGUUGGUAACAGCCCAAGCGCCCGAGCGGUUUCGCUUUUAUCCCGAACCUUUGGACGAGUGGGAGGCUUUGGGCAAUGUUUUGGAGGGGUUCUAUGCUGGUGAACCUGGGUCCGGGUUCCUAGCUCAAACAUUGAUAAGUCAGACUUUGUUGCGCCGAGAUAUCCCACGCACCCGAUGUCGGCGGGAGAUAGGCUUGUACGAACGCAGUCUGAUGAGUGCCCGUCAGUGUUUCAUUCCUGCAAUGCUGGUUCAAUCUCAACUUCGACCUGUGGAAGCGGCUAUUUUGAAUUGUGGGACCAGUUUUCACCUCUCCAUGUGGCCUCAUCUAAACCCUCAGAGGAUUGUCUAUGUUGAGUGCGAUCCGGAGACGGCCUACAACAGAGUUCUGGAACGGGGUGGGGUAGAGGGGGGACGCGUGACUCUGGGUUACCUGGAGAGGCUUCAUGAGUUUCAUGACGAGUGGUUGGGGCGGGGAAACCCCCGGGUUAUCAGGGUAAACACAUCCUCCGUAGAGGAGGCUGACAUGGUCAGACUGGCCAAAGAUUUAGCCGACAUGCUGCUUCUCCCACCUCCCCUACCCCCCCGUUCUCAGAUUUUCCGAGUGGACGAAUAACUGCUCCCCCAGGAUUUGUUCCCUCCUUUCAGGCAAGACAAAUUAAUAAAAGGGGGGUUGGGAUGGGAAUUUUUAUUGUUUCUUCUUUAGAACCCUUACCAAGUUUUGGGAGAGUUUUGGGAAUACUUGAGUGGAGCCAGAGAUCUUCUCAGCGCUCAUCCGGACACUCUAACGCUGGUUCUCACCACAUCAUGGCACAGUGCUGCUGAGUGGGGAGCGGGUUGGGUUCGAGCUCCUGAAGGCUGGAAUGCCGUAAGAAAUCUCCUUCACGAGAGUUUCCCAACACGUGACGAGAUAUGGGUAGGAGACCGAGUUCCUGAGACGGUUUGGGAGACUGUUGAUGAGGGGGUGAGCUUUAACUGGCCAGAAACCCGUCAACAAUUGAACACCCGAUCUAUUCUCCGCUUGGAGUAGAGGUGC
This is an RNA transcript of Eurytemora carolleeae, 1309 nucleotides long. RefSeq lists it as uncharacterized. The record is from RefSeq and is a predicted model, not a curated record. NCBI's taxonomy places the organism in Eukaryota, Metazoa, Arthropoda, Copepoda, Calanoida, Temoridae. The transcript has 3 exons.